ACUAAAGGAACAAAGGCUAAGUUCGCGACGUCCUGGGGCUGCGAUUACUCACCCCAUCAAAAAGCGUUGUCGCAACCCCUUUGUGACCUACAUCCUGUAGG
Molecule: small RNA, 101 nt
Filed under: Oceanobacillus oncorhynchi
Lineage: Bacteria; Bacillati; Bacillota; Bacilli; Caryophanales; Bacillaceae
Description: Bacillaceae-1 RNA
Rfam family: Bacillaceae-1 RNA
Source: Rfam by way of RNAcentral